CGCGUGGGAAUCUGCCCUCUGGUACGGAAUAACUCAGGGAAACUUGAGCCAAUACCGUAUAAUGACUCCGGUCCAAAGAUUUACUCGCCGUGAAGGAUGUAGCCCGCGGUAGGAUUAGCUAGUUGGUGAGGUAAAGUCUCACCAAGGCGACGAUCCUUAGCUGGUCUGAGAGGGUGAUCGGCCACACUGGGACGUGAGACACGGUCCCAGACUCCUACGGGAGGCAGCAGUGGGGAAUCUUAGACAAUGGGGCGCAAGCCUGAUCUAGCCAUGCCGCGUGUGUGAUGAAGGCCUUAGGGG
RNAcentral lists this ribosomal RNA (300 nucleotides) under uncultured Sphingomonas sp. Its description in RNAcentral is "bacterial SSU rRNA". It matches the Rfam family "Bacterial small subunit ribosomal RNA", at positions 114 to 423 of the family's 1533-position model. Lineage: Bacteria; Pseudomonadati; Pseudomonadota; Alphaproteobacteria; Sphingomonadales; Sphingomonadaceae. The record is from RNAcentral.